This 253-nucleotide ribosomal RNA is filed under the name uncultured bacterium. RNAcentral's name for it is "partial 16S ribosomal RNA". It matches the Rfam family "Bacterial small subunit ribosomal RNA", at positions 524 to 776 of the family's 1533-position model. The record is from RNAcentral.
UACGGAGGGUGCAAGCGUUAUCCGGAUUUACUGGGUUUAAAGGGUGCGUAGGCGGAUAUGUAAGUCAGUGGUGAAAUCUCCGGGCUUAACCCGGAAACUGCCGUUGAUACUAUAUAUCUUGAAUGCUGUGGAGGUAAGCAGAAUAUGUCAUGUAGCGGUGAAAUGCUUAGAGAUGACAUAGAAUACCUAUUGCGAAGGCAGCUUACUACGCAGAUAUUGACGCUCAUGCACGAAAGCGUGGGGAUCAAACAGG